Molecule: non-coding RNA, 157 nt
Filed under: Conticribra weissflogii
Lineage: Eukaryota; Bacillariophyta; Thalassiosirophyceae; Thalassiosirales; Thalassiosiraceae
Source: RNAcentral
UAUAGGAAGGUGGAAGGAGGGGCUUCAGAGGCGGCGUCGAAGGUUGCGUGAGUUAUUGAAUUUAUUUUUUUUACUUUGUGCUUUUGUCGUAACUUUGAAACUAAUGCAUGAAAAAAAUCAUUAUUUCAUUUUCCUUGAUUUAUUUCCCUCGCUCACA